GUACCCUUAGCUCAGCUGGAUAGAGUACUUGGCUACGAACCAAGGGGUCGGGGGUUCGAAUCCCUCAGGGUACGCCA
This 77-nucleotide transfer RNA is filed under the name Tissierella creatinophila DSM 6911. RNAcentral's name for it is "tRNA-Arg". It matches the Rfam family "tRNA". From Rfam's summary of the family: Transfer RNA (tRNA) molecules are approximately 80 nucleotides in length. Their secondary structure includes four short double-helical elements and three loops (D, anti-codon, and T loops). Further hydrogen bonds mediate the characteristic L-shaped molecular structure. tRNAs have two regions of fundamental functional importance: the anti-codon, which is responsible for specific mRNA codon recognition, and the 3' end, to which the tRNAs corresponding amino acid is attached (by aminoacyl-tRNA synthetases). tRNAs cope with the degeneracy of the genetic code in two manners: having more than one tRNA (with a specific anti-codon) for a particular amino acid; and 'wobble' base-pairing, i.e. permitting non-standard base-pairing at the 3rd anti-codon position. The record is from RNAcentral. Lineage: Bacteria; Bacillati; Bacillota; Tissierellia; Tissierellales; Tissierellaceae.